GACGGGACCGCACAAGCGGUGGUAUGAUGUGGUUUAAUUCGAUGCAACGCGAAAACCUUACCACCUUUGACAUGUACGGAAGUUGCCAGAGAUGGCCUCGUGCUCGAAAGAGAGCCGUAACACAGGUGCUGCAUGGCUGUCGUCAGCUCGUGUCGUGAGAUGUUGGGUUAAGUCCCGCAACGAGCGCAACCCUUGUCAUUAGUUGCUACGAAAGGGCACUCUAAUGAGACUGCCGGUGACAAACCGGAGGAAGGUGGGGAUGACGUCAAGUCCGCAUGGCCCCUAUAGGUGGGGCUACACACGUCAUACAAUGGCUGGUACAAAGGGUUGCCAACCCGCGAGGGGGAGCCAAUCCCAUAAAGCCAGUCGUAGUCCGGAUCGCAGUCUGCAACUCGACUGCGUGAAGUCGGAAUCGCUAGUAAUCGUGGAUCAGCAUGUCACGGUGAAUACGUUCCCGGGUCUU
Molecule: ribosomal RNA, 463 nt
Filed under: uncultured Hydrogenophaga sp.
Lineage: Bacteria; Pseudomonadati; Pseudomonadota; Betaproteobacteria; Burkholderiales; Comamonadaceae
Description: bacterial SSU rRNA
Rfam family: Bacterial small subunit ribosomal RNA
Source: RNAcentral